This is a long non-coding RNA of Populus euphratica (Euphrates poplar), 840 nucleotides long. RefSeq lists it as uncharacterized. Lineage: Eukaryota; Viridiplantae; Streptophyta; Magnoliopsida; Malpighiales; Salicaceae. The transcript has 3 exons. The record is from RefSeq and is a predicted model, not a curated record.
CCCUUUCACAUGUCAUUUCCUUUUUCACAGUAACUUCAGCACUGUUUCUCAAUAAAGUUCAAAACUUUGAAAUGGGCUUUUUGUACAUUCUUUUUCAAGUGAUUAUUCAGUUAAUAACGGUCAGUUGGUGCGAACACAGCAGUUCAUCAAAUUGUAUGGAAUUGGAAGGGUUAUUCGAUUCGCUAUCACAAUGCUGGGAACAGUGGCCCUGCUCUAGUUUUAGCUCAUGGUUUUGGAGCAAACAGUUUUCUGGUCAUUAUGCAGAAGUCGUUGGUCUUCAGGCUUCAGUUAUAGACCCAAAGAUCUGUGAAGGCAGUAUGUUGUUACUUAUAUCUUUGCGUUUGCUACACAUUAAAAGGCAGCCAUGAUUUGGUAGGCCUUUUAUCAGAUCAUUCCAAAGUCUGCUGAGGUAAACAGAUAUGAUUUCUUUUGUUAGUCACGAAGCUUUAAACUUGCCAUCUUUAACUUUAGCUGUUUUUGCAGGAAUUCUGCUUUGGGAAAAAUUUGCUUCAACUCAGUUGCCAUUCCAUAGUCUGUGAGAAACAUUGUGUGUCUGAUGUUGUUAGGUGGCAUGUUAAGUAUUUUCCUUUUAAAGAACGAUGUUUUUUGUCUUUUUUGCUGGAUGUUGGCAGAGCCCUACAUCUGAUAUCUAAAGUAAGUUUCUCAUGGAGAUUCUUGACAAAUGGUGGAUACUUUCUCUUGUGCUAGAAAAGAUAACCGUUUGAUUAUAUUUGUUGAUGAGCAUGAAGGAUUCAGCACCUCAACUUGUGAGCCCCUCGUGGAGUCUUUGGUAGCAUGUAUUGCAUCAUAGCAAGUGUUUCUGCUGUUUGAUAGUAGACA